CGGGACACGUGGUAUCCUGUCUGAAUAUGGGGGGACCAUCCUCCAAGGCUAAAUACUCCUGACUGACCGAUAGUGAACCAGUACCGUGAGGGAAAGGCGAAAAGAACCCCGGCGAGGGGAGUGAAAAAGAACCUGAAACCGUGUACGUACAAGCAGUGGGAGCACGCUUAGGCGUGUGACUGCGUACCUUUUGUAUAAUGGGUCAGCGACUUAUAUUCUGUAGCAAGGUUAACCGAAUAGGGGAGCCGAAGGGAAACCGAGUCUUAACUGGGCGUUAAGUUGCAGGGUAUAGACCCGAAACCCGGUGAUCUAGCCAUGGGCAGGUUGAAGGUUGGGUAACACUAACUGGAGGACCGAACCGACUAAUGUUGAAAAAUUAGCGGAUGACUUGUGGCUGGGGGUGAAAGGCCAAUCAAACCGGGAGAUAGCUGGUUCUCCCCGAAAGCUAUUUAGGUAGCGCCUCGUGAAUUCAUCUCCGGGGGUAGAGCACUGUUUCGGCAAGGGGGUCAUCCCGACUUACCAACCCGAUGCAAACUGCGAAUACCGGAGAAUGUUAUCACGGGAGACACACGGCGGGUGCUAACGUCCGUCGUGAAGAGGGAAACAACCCAGACCGCCAGCUAAGGUCCCAAAGUCAUGGUUAAGUGGGAAACGAUGUGGGAAGGCCCAGACAGCCAGGAUGUUGGCUUAGAAGCAGCCAUCAUUUAAAGAAAGCGUAAUAGCUCACUGGUCGAGUCGGCCUGCGCGGAAGAUGUAACGGGGCUAAACCAUGCACCGAAGCUGCGGCAGCGACGCUGAUGCGUUGUUGGGUAGGGGAGCGUUCUGUAAGCCUGUGAAGGUGUGCUGUGAGGCAUGCUGGAGGUAUCAGAAGUGCGAAUGCUGACAUAAGUAACGAUAAAGCGGGUGAAAAGCCCGCUCGCCGGAAGACCAAGGGUUCCUGUCCAACGUUAAUCGGGGCAGGGUGAGUC
Molecule: ribosomal RNA, 968 nt
Filed under: Escherichia coli
Lineage: Bacteria; Pseudomonadati; Pseudomonadota; Gammaproteobacteria; Enterobacterales; Enterobacteriaceae
Description: partial 23S ribosomal RNA
Rfam family: Bacterial large subunit ribosomal RNA
Source: RNAcentral